This 179-nucleotide ribosomal RNA is filed under the name uncultured Lactobacillus sp. RNAcentral's name for it is "partial 16S ribosomal RNA". It matches the Rfam family "Bacterial small subunit ribosomal RNA", at positions 383 to 555 of the family's 1533-position model. The record is from RNAcentral. Lineage: Bacteria; Bacillati; Bacillota; Bacilli; Lactobacillales; Lactobacillaceae.
CUGAUGGAGCACACCGCGUGAGUGAAGAAGGGUUUCGGCUCGUAAAGCUCUGUUGUUAAAGAAGAACACGUAUGAGAGUAACUGUUCAUACGUUGACGGUAUUUAACCAGAAAGUCACGGCUAACUACGUGCCAGCAGCCGCGGUAAUACGUAGGUGGCAAGCGUUAUCCGGAUUUAUU